UACGUAGGUGGCAAGCGUUGUCCGGAUUUACUGGGCGUAAAGAGCGCGCAGGCGGUCGAUCAAGUCGCGUGUGAAAGCCCCCGGCUCAACUGGGGAGGGUCACGCGAUACUGAUCGACUCGAAGGCAGGAGAGGGUAGUGGAAUUCCUGGUGUAGCGGUGAAAUGCGUAGAGAUCAGGAAGAACACCGGUGGCGAAGGCGCUCUGCUAGGCCGUAACUGACACUGAGGGACGAAAGCUAGGGGAGCGAAUGGG
This 253-nucleotide ribosomal RNA is filed under the name uncultured bacterium. RNAcentral describes it as "partial 16S ribosomal RNA". It matches the Rfam family "Bacterial small subunit ribosomal RNA", at positions 524 to 776 of the family's 1533-position model. The record is from RNAcentral.